CCUACGGGAGGCAGCAGUGAGGAAUAUUGGUCAAUGGCCGGAAGGCUGAACCAGCCAUGCCGCGUGAAGGUCAGUGCCCUAUGGGCGUUAAACUUCUUUUAUCAGGGACGAAGCAAGUGACGGUACCUGAUGAAUAAGCCACGGCUAACUACGUGCCAGCAGCCGCGGUAAUACGUAGGUGGCAAGCGUUAUCCGGAUUUACUGGGUGUAAGGGCGUGUAGGCGGGAGUGCAAGUCAGAUGUGAAAACUAUGGGCUCAACCCAUAGCCUGCAUUUGAAACUGUACUUCUUGAGUGCUGGAGAGGCAAUCGGAAUUCCGUGGGUAGCGGUGAAAUGCGUAGAUAUACGGAGGAACACCAGUGGCGAAGGCGGAUUGCUGGACAGUAACUGACGCUGAGGCGCGAAAGCGUGGGGAGCAAACAGGAUUAGAUACCCCGGUAGUC
Molecule: ribosomal RNA, 442 nt
Filed under: uncultured bacterium
Lineage: Bacteria
Description: partial 16S ribosomal RNA
Rfam family: Bacterial small subunit ribosomal RNA
Source: RNAcentral